Molecule: ribosomal RNA, 535 nt
Filed under: uncultured Bacillota bacterium
Lineage: Bacteria; Bacillati; Bacillota
Description: bacterial SSU rRNA
Rfam family: Bacterial small subunit ribosomal RNA
Source: RNAcentral
UGCAGUCGAACGGAGAAUCAGCAAUGAUUCUUAGUGGCGAACGGGUGAGUAACGCGUAGACAACCUGCCUUCUAGAUGGGGACAACACUGCGAAAGUGGUGCUAAUACCGAAUGUUGUAUUAAGCCUGCAUGGGCUUGAUACUAAAGGUGGCCUCUAUUUAUAAGCUAUCACUAGAAGAUGGGUCUGCGUCUGAUUAGCUAGUUGGUGAGGUAAUGGCUCACCAAGGCGAUGAUCAGUAGCCGGUCUGAGAGGAUGAACGGCCACACUGGGACUGAGACACGGCCCAGACUCCUACGGGAGGCAGCAGUGGGGAAUCUUCCGCAAUGGACGAAAGUCUGACGGAGCAACGCCGCGUGAGUGAAGAAGGUUUUCGGAUCGUAAAGCUCUGUCUUUGAGGACGAAUGUGUCUAAUGUGAAUAAUGUUAGAUAAUGACGGUACUCGAGGAGGAAGCCACGGCUAACUACGUGCCAGCAGCCGCGGUAAUACGUAGGUGGCAAGCGUUGUCCGGAAUUAUUGGGCGUAAAGCGCGCGCA